RNA transcript from Harpegnathos saltator (Jerdon's jumping ant), 4337 nucleotides. It is a transcript of the gene named tropomodulin, with no coding region annotated. The record is from RefSeq and is a predicted model, not a curated record. NCBI's taxonomy places the organism in Eukaryota, Metazoa, Arthropoda, Insecta, Hymenoptera, Formicidae. The transcript has 11 exons.
AGUACCGCCAGCCUCUCCGCUUCGCGCGGAACUUGCACGCCCGGAAUAGUUCCGUCUCGCGGCAGUAAAAGUUUUCCGCUUGCGCGUCCCGAAAUCGGACGAACGGCGCUCUCUCUCUCUCUCUUUCUCUCUCUCUCUCCCUCUCUCCCUCUCUCUCUCUCUCUCUCUCUCUCUCUCUCUCUCUCGGCGUGCAGAGGAGAAGCCAGCGGAGACCGGGUGGUGUUGCCCUCGCUAGCGAGCGAGAUCUUCGAUUUUCAGCCGAGACCCCUGAGACGGUGCCCUGUCUGCGAGUUCCGCGACCCACGGACCCGCGGACGCCUUGAGCCCACGCUUGAGCCUUGAAGAUCCUUGGAAGCGGAUACCGCGCGCGCGCGGAACGCCAGGAUGGACGGAACCGACGCGUUGGUGAGGACCAGCGACGGCGACGGCGACAUGGUGAACAGCGGAGGUCGACGCGACGACGACGACGAGGCGCCCACCGUCGAGGAGACCUACGAGGUCACCACCACCAGGCGCAAGACCGUCCGCACCAGCUACAAAAUCCAAGAGACUUCCUCGUCUACCAAGAAAACCACCAUGACCACGGCAGCCAAGUUGUACGGCAAGGAUCUCAGUGAGUACGAAGAUAUUGACGUGGAUGAGCUACUGGCACAACUCACGCCGGAAGAGAUCAAUAUACUCGCCAAGGAAGUGGAUCCUGAUGAUAGCUUCAUGCCACCUUCGCAACGUUGCAGUUAUGAAUGUGACAAGAGUCCUACAGGGCCGCUGAAUCGAAAGAAACUCAUCGAGCACAUCAACAAGCAGGCUCUGGAGACGCCUGAUAUUCCAGAGCUGAAGCCAUAUGUACCUGGUGUGAUCAGAGGCAAAAAAUGGAUACCUCCGCCGCAAGAGACUAUAAAAGAGAAGGAGGCAGAGGAACAGAUCGCGAUAGAUCUCGGGGAAGAGUACGAACAAGCUCUCUCGUCAGCCACCCAAGAAGAAAUCAUCGAUCUUGCUGCUAUUCUUGGAUUCCAUUCCAUGAUGAAUCAAGAUCAGUAUCACGCGUCCUUGUUGAACUCUGGACAACCGGUCGGACUCGGCUGGGACGGCGUGACGAAGGCUAGCCAACCGAAGGUCUAUCCCAUGGAGCCGCCCAACGACACAGACGUCGACGCCACCAUCAAACAAGUGCGCGACGAUGACUCAGCUCUGACCGACUUGAAUUGGAACAAUAUUAAAAAUAUCUCGGACGAAAAGUUCAUGCAGUUGUUCGAAGGCUUGGAAAUAAACACUCACCUCGAAUCGCUGAGUUUAACCAAUGUUGGACUGAACGACAAAACUGCGCAACGGCUGGCAGACGCUGUAGAGAAGAAUUCGACGCUCAGAGUACUCAACGUGGAAACAAACUUUAUAAGCCCGGCUGUGAUAGUGAGGCUCAUCAGGGCCCUUCUCAAAACGAAGUCCAUUGAAGAGUUCCGAUGCUCGAACCAGAGGUCACAAGUGUUGGGUAACAAAAUCGAGAUGGAAAUCACACAGUUGGUGGAACAAAACCCGACAUUGCUGCGACUCGGGUUGCACUUGGAGUUCAACGACGCUAGACACCGCGUGGCCGCGCAUCUGCAACGCAACAUUGACAGGAUCUGCCGUGUGGAACCCAUGGAACGCGCUAAGGUCGUAGCGAUCGGUGCUGGUGCUGGAACCUUCACCGUUCUCCCCGUAGAUGACUUAAAAAACCGAGCGUAGCGCUGUCGCGGCGCAUACGGAAAGAUCUAACGCUGCGGCUACAGUUCCGAUUCUUUAACAUGAACCACAGGAAACCUGCCUUGAUCCAAUGAAAGAUCGGCUGCAACGCAUGGGAAGACCCUCUCGCAACUAUACCAUUGGCUGGGCCCGGGGCUGAUGAUCGCCGCGAUGAUGGCAACGACGACGACGACGAUGACGACAACAACGACGACGACAACGACGACGACGACGACGACGACGACGACAACGACGACGAGGACGAUGAUAAUACGGUGAGAUGCCGAUGAUCGUGCGAUUCCCACAAGUGCACCGCCGUCGAACGGCCCGCAUACAGACACAUAUAUUCUCCACACACACACACACACACACACACACGCUAUCGUCGAGUCCUUGGAUCCUGCGGAGCGUAGGAAGAUCUCUGCGCGCACGGAUAGCGGGAUCUUCUGUCGGGAACCUCCAGAGCGCCUCGGACGCGCGACGCUUGCGGAUCCUCCCGGAUCCUCGAUUAACGUCCUGCGUGCUUGCAAGUCUCUUUGAUCCUCGGGAUCUCGUCGUUUACCUGGGACAACCCGUUCGACGGAUCACACUCGGCGGGCGAUCCUGACAGCCUUCGAGGAGAUGGACGCGGAUGGAGAGCCGGAAAGCUUCGCGAAAAGCACAUGACAAAUUAUACAUGGAUGUCUCUCGUCUUUGUUGUUCUCCAAAUGCAUAUAUAUAUAUAUAUAUGUGUGUGUGUGUGUGUGUGUAUAUAUAUAUGUAUAUAUAUAUAUAUAUAUACACAUGUAUAUAUAUAAAUAUAUAGGCAAAUAUAUAUUUAUAUAUAUUUCCGCACUAGAGCUCUAUGUAACGCACGGAGGACACUUCAAUGCGGUUUCUCGCGCGACGUCAUGAUGUAAUAAAUACUUUAUACAUGUAUACACAUUAAUUAAUAUACGCGGCCGACGCGUGACUUGUCGAUAAUGUUAAUCAAUUAAUAUAUAUAUAUUGCGACGCGCGCGCACUUUAAUUGAUAAGUUAUCGGAGAUGAAGUAACGUGAGCAGAAAGCCGAGAGGAUACCGACUUUUUUAAUAUAUAUAUAUAUAUAAAUUAAAAUAAUAUACACGUCGCGCGACUCCCGUUCAUUGCUUUAACGUCUAGCUAACCGGAUUAUUUAAAUAUUUAUACAUACGGAGGAGAAGGCGAGGAAGAAAAGAGGAGGAACGCAGCUCCUUUCGAUCGACUCGCGCCAAAACUUUCGGUCGACCGCGCGCCGAGCGAUCGUCGGGGACGAAUUUUCUACACGCGAUCUCUCUCUCUCUCUCUCUCUCUCUCUCUCUCUCUCUCCGUCGUUCUGCUCUCGUCGGAACUUUUUUCUCGUUAUUACCGUCUCUCAUUAUGCUGCCCGACGAAACGGCUCGUCGUCCUUUGCGCCUUGAAACGAGCGCAAAAAUGGUUUCUUCGGGUCAGCUGGCAUUAAUGUCGGAUAAUUGAGCAACUGUCAGAGCGCGAGAUUGGAUUUUCCUUCCACGAAAAUGAAAUAACGCUUAAUCUUCGUCGAUAUAUAAAGGUGACGAGACGCACGAAGCUGGCGCAGUUUCGUCGUCGAGUCGACGCUCGUUUUUUACACGCGACAACUGAUUAUUCCUGUUUUUAAACAUAUCACUCGCAUCGUGUCGGCGCACGGAGGCUAAUUAGUCAGUGCUCUGUCAACACGUAAAGUUUCGGAGGAGAAAGAGAAAACGAACGCGCGAACGAAGCGAAAAAAGCACCGACCCGAUCGUUCCGCUCGGCGUCUAACGUCACUGUAAUAUUCUCUAAGGUACUAACUCGUUGUUUAAAUUAAUAAUUAUUUUAGCAUAAAUAUACAUAUACGAGUCUCCGAGUCUCUGUACAUAUUGUCUUCAAUGUUCGUUUCUAAUCGAUCAAUGUGAUCUACGUGUUAUGACGAAGGAGAGAAUGGAUUGAUUUGACGCGCGAGAGUGGCGCAAUUGUUUCUCUGCGUGUACGCGCGUGCGGAUGAGAGGAAGAGAAGGGGGGCGGGAGUGCGUGAAUGUGAGGAUAAUUACGCGAGAGCAGUUAAUCACGUGGCGUCAAAAGUGGUCACGCCCGAUCGUCACCGUCUCGCGCGAGUCGAGCCCGCCGAUAUAAUAAAGAUAUCGCUAAUUACGCGCGCCGCCAUUGAAUCAUCGUCGCUCGCUGUCCCUAGAAUCAGCUCCGACAUGGAGAGUCAUCGGAGAGAGCCGAAAGCUCUCGAUCAGCCGAGAGCAGGACCUCGCGCCUCUUUUUCUCUUCUCUUCGAGAGAAAACGAUGCGCAGAGUUCCUCGCGACAAGCGCGCUCGAGUCGCGACGGCGACAAAGAGGGUGACGAGGAGGAAAGUAAGGAAGAGAAGCAAGAACAAAGUUAACAAUAACGAUAAGCGGCGUCGCGAAUCGAGCGUCUCGCUCGCUCGCGGUAUUCUUCAUUGUAAACGUGUAUCGCACCCUGUCACACACACACACACUCCGGAAACACGCAUCACAUUUCACGUGCACACGUGACACACACCGAAACUCGAGUGCACGCGCACGAUCAAAGCCUUGCCGCUAAGCCUUAUCUUGUAACACGAGGUUUCAAUAAACUGCUGAAAGAAAAGA